UAUUGAGGAGCUUUGUGCCAAGUUAGUUUUCCCAGGAGAAAGCUUCCUUACUCCCUACAAAUACUGGUGACCAGCUGUUCCUGCAACUCAAAUCUCUUUUUGCUGUUAUCUUCAUUUGUUUUGGUGUGGCUCAUUUUCCUGGCCCAGACUGCAGAAAGAAACCAUUACACUCUUGAUGCCAAACUUUUGCAUUGUCCAUCACCCCACUGAGAAAAUAAGGAUGGGCAGAACAUAAGUCAUUGGGAAUUCUGAAAUUUUCAAGGAAGUUGAAACUUGCAAGUGGGAAAAGGCAAUAGCUCAUGAAGCUUCAUCUGGUUACAGCCAGCUCGGUUAGGACUAUGUGCAUUUCCAUCAGGUUGGAGGAAUGAACAAGUGUAAGCUCGCUGGCAAUCUGGGAAAGCCUGGGUAAGAAGCUGUUAUCCAGUUUCUGGAUGUGUUUGUGAUCCCAGAGCCUUCUCUGGCAGCUGCCUCAGGAAGAUAAAGCUGAGACUGAAAGCAUCCAGAUCCUGGUAAUUCUCCAGGUGAUAAACCAGAAAUAGGAAGUGUGUGAUCAAUCUCUCUCUCCCACUUUGUCAGCUCCCAUGUUUGAAGUUCAAGUGUCAAGGACAAUCCUUGAACAACAGUGGACCCAUACAAUGGUAUCGCUGGGUUGUGUGACCACAAGGGAUGAAAAACAGUUCUACCAUGUUCCAGCUUGUGGUCACAAGUGCUUUACAACCACUGCAGCAGCAAUUUUCAACAGUUCCAUUGUAUCAUUAUAUGGAUGAUAUAUUGCUAGCAGCAGAUAACUGCUGUAGUGCAAAACUGUUUUGUCUUUUUGGGUAUUUCUCUUGACAAAUAUGGUCUUUGUAUUGCAGCAGACAAAGUUCAAACUGUCCCACCUUGGAAAUAUCUAGGGUUUCUAUUAUUUGAACAGAAAAUUGUUCCUCAGCCCAUUGUGCUGUGGACCUCUAUUAAAACAUUAAAUGAUUUGCAAGAAUUAUUAGGAACUAUUAAUUGGCUUGGACCAACUGAGGAAUUAUCACCCUUAUUUAAUUUGCUUAAGGGAGACACAGAUUUAACACCUCCUUGUGAACUUAAUCCAGAAGCCUGUGAAGCAUUGCAAAUUGUGAUAGAUAAAAUUCAGUCAUCCUUUGUAUCCAAACAACAAGCAGAGUUACCACUGGACUUUUUGUUAUCAUAGCUGAAUUCCAACCAUAUGCAUUAAUAGCAGAGUGGUGUGAUGAUAAACAACUGUGUGUCUUAGAGUGGGUAUUUUUACCUCACACAUUUUCAAAAACAGUAACCACCUUACUUAACAUGAUUGUUAGACUGGUUUCCACAGGACAAAAAUUAUACCAAAGCCUAAGUGGGGAAGAUCAUUCUCAUAUCCACAUUCCUUUUCCUGCAGACACUUUUAAGGAUAUGUCCCAGGAGCCAUUAUCUUUACAGGCUGACCUGACAGACUUUUUGGAAAACAUUGUUAAUUCUUUGCCGCAAAGUAAAGUUUUGCAAUGUUUAAAAGAUCUUUCUGGAUAGUUGUAUUUUCUAACACUGUCACAACCCCUGCCUGGAGCAAAGACAGUCUUCAUCGAUGGCUCUGGGAAAACUCAGAAAGCAGUUGUUGCUUGGAAAAAUUCCACAGGGGAUUGGGAAAACUCUGUUAUUUUUCAGCCAGGGUUGACACAGCUAGUAGAAUUAGCAGCUGCUGUAGAGCUUUUUCAGUUUCAAUUUUCAGUUGUUUUUUCCAGUUGUUUCAAAUGAGCCUUUCAAUUUAAUAUCAUAUUCCUUGUAAGUUGUUGGCAUAUUAAACCAUAUUGAACAUUCCUUUCCAAAGCAAGUGCACAAGAAUUUGUUUAUAGUGUUAUCUACUCUGUAUGAUUAUGCUCGAUACAGAUCUCAUUAUUUUUAGGUCGUGCAUCUUUAAGGUGUCACUCAUCUUUGCCUGGACCUUUGGUGGAAGGCAGCAUAGUCAUGGAUGCUCUAACAACAAUGGAAACAACUCCAAAUCAAAUUACACAGGCAAAGUUGUCAUGUGAAUUCUUUCAUAAGAAUGUGAAAGCUUUGAGUAAACAAUUUAAUCUUACUUUUUCUCAAGCUAGACAAAUGGUUCAUUCUUGCCCAGAGUGUGCAUGCUUAAUGCCCUUACCUACCACAGUAGGUACAAAUCCAGGAGGAUUAGGUGUUAAUGAUGCCUGGCAGAUGAAUGCUACACAGAUUUCUUCUUUUGGCACUUUAGAAUAUGUGUAUGUAUCAGUUGGUAUAUUUCACAUAUUCAAAAUUUUUUGUUUUCUCCUCUCAUAAAGGGGAAAAAGCAAGAGAUGUCAUUAAGUGAGCUAUUGCUACCUUAGGAGUUCCUGAGGUAGUGAAAACUGAUAAUGGUUCAACCAUAUGUCUCACAGCCAAUGAAAACCUUUUUUCACUCUUGGGGUACACGUCACUUAACUGGAAUACCUCAUUCCUUGAGGCCAAGCUGUUGUGGAAUUCACAGACACCCUUUAAAGGAAUAUGCUUCUUAAACAAAAAAUGUGUAUAAACCCUUGGUAUAACACCCCAGGAACAAUUGGACAGAGCAACAUUUGUUUUAAAUUUUAAAAAUAUUUUCAGAUUUUAUAACAAAACAGCAAGUUUUAUAUUUUACAGCAAGUAAAAUAAGGUUUUCCCAUGAUACCUUUAACAGGUUUUCCUGGUUUGAACCACCUGUCUAUUAUAAAGAUUUGCAGAGUGGACAAUGGCUAGGCCCUCUGCCUUUGCUAACAUGGGGGUGUGGAUAUGGCUGUGUUUCUCUAUCCACAGGGCCUUACUGGUUACCUGCAAAGAACAUCAGACCCACUGCACAAGAAUGAAGGCUUGAAGGCAUCACAAUUUUAGUUUGGUUAUUAGUUACAAUGGACUUAGGCACAACUUAUGUAACCUUUUUUGUCAUCCUCAGCAAAUUCUUGAGGAUUGUGAGUGAAGCAUGGGUCUCACAACCAAAGACCAAUGUUUGUCUCACAUUAGCCAAAGCAAUUAUCCAAUCUAUGCUUUGAAAUUAAUCACUUGGACUGGUCAUAUAUAUACACACAUGUGUGGUUGGCACUCUCUUAAUGAAGGAUGAGUGGAACAAGUUAUACAAUCAAGCAGUUACCCGUGCUUGUACCACUCCAGGUAAGCCUAAAUCAUCAUGGUGGUGUUUGGGAUCACAGCAACCUAAUGCUGGCCAAUCUGUGGGGUGGAAUUUGGGCAAUGUUAAUACAGGCAUGAGAAAAGUAAGUAACGUCCCUGCUCUCUCACUGCAGCCUCAAGAACUGGAUGUACUAGGCUCUGUAAAAGUUCCUGUAUCUUUUUUAUCUUAAUUAUGCUAACGAUCCAAGCACAGGCAACACAGGAGUCAAUAUAAGUGGCACUGGAAUUUUCCAGAAUGCCUCUGCCUGGUGCAAUCUUACUACUUCCUCUAAAGUCACAAGUGGGACCAAAGCAAUAAGCCUGCCCAAUAAUAUAUUUUUAAUAUGUGGCAACAGGGCAUGGAUAGGCAUUCCAGGUAAAACAAUGAGGGAUCCAUGUACUUUUGGUUGUUUAACCAUGUUUUAUCCCAGUCUUGAAGCACUAAUUGGACACUAUGACAUGGGGGAAAUAAACUGUAACUCUGAGGUUGAAUUCUGGAAUACUGCAAAGAGAGUUCUUAGUUCUUUAGCUGCCUCUGUUGAUACUGCACAUGCCUUGAACAUAGUUAGUAAACUAGGCUGUUGGCUUAUGAAGGAAAGUAGUGUUACCACUAAUGCUUUAACAGGAUUGCUGGCAGAUUUUGGCUCUGAACAUCAUGCAACACUGCAAAAUAGAACAGCAAUAGACUCUUGAUUGCUAGCCCAGGAAUAUGGAUGUGAAGACUUCCAUAGAAUGUGCUGUAUGACCUUAAGUGACCACGUUGAAUCCAUUCACAAAAGCAUCCAGGAACUGAAGGAACUGUCUGGAGAACUGUAGAAUGUCUAUUUGUAGCAAAACCAGGGAUGAAAUCCUUCCAGCCUAUUCUCCUGGCUGGGAAGUUUAAAUUUUGGACCUUGGGUUAAAUGUGUAGUUGGUUUAGCUAUAAUGGGAUGUACAGCACUUUUGAUUAUGAUGUUAUGUUUGCCGUGUGUCUUUUCUUGUAGUCAAGGGCUUAUCAAUCAGAACAUAAAGAAGGUAAUGCUUAUGCAGACACACACUGUACUCGCUUUGCAAUGCUUAGUAAAUAAAAGAAGGGGAUAUGCUUAGGAAUAAGAGAACAAAGACUGCUUGGUUAGAAUAACUAUGACUUUUCAGUCAAGGAAGGAGAGAUGUAACAAAGUUUCUAAAAUGUAACAGAUAGCAGAACUGCAUCAGUUUGCAGAAAAAAUAUACAAGUGUUUGUUUUAAGGAAGAAAUGCUGAUGUGAAUAUUAGGAGCAUGAUCCCUUACAUUAUUGGUUACCAGACACAUGAGCAGUUAUACUAUUGGCUAUCCAGAUGUGUGUUGUGACAGUGAAAAUAUUAUAAAAGCUAUAUACACUCUUAAUAAAUGUUUUCUAGUUAAACCUGGACUGGGGACUGUGCAUCGUUCAUAUGCCACACCCACAUCCUGUGAAAUUCUGACAAGGUUUACUUAACUUAAAGUUACUUUACUUAACUUGAGCAGAAUAUAACUGUAUCUGAGCUCCUAUUGAAGACACAGGUAGCGUGAAUAAAAUAUCAGAGUGCAGGCACAUCCAAAUAAAGGGUCCAACAUCAGCUCAGGUGUUGUGUCUGUAACAGAUAGGAUUUUUUUCUGACACAGAAUCAGGAUCCCAUUUGUUUUUUCAAUUUUGAUCUUCCUAUCAAUAAAGUAGCAGAAAAGCUUAAACAUUUAUUCAGACUUUUCUAUUGCUCUUACUUUUGGCAUUGUAUUAUAUUAUAUUGGUUAUUGGUAUUAUACUACUAUUGGUUAUACUACUAUUGGUUAGUUAUGUUACUAUUGGUUAUAGGUUAUAAGCUAUAGUCUUAUAAAAUGUUUCAAGCACUUACUUCCUUUAAGGCAGUUAUGUGAAGUUUGACAAUUGACCUUGCUCAGCUUAUUACCACUAAAAGAGCACUGCUACACUGUGUUUCUUGAUAUUCAAAGAUAUCUAAAUGAUCAUCAGUGAAGAGCAAAGAAAUAAUGAUUGAACACAACUUUGAAUGAACAGGAAUAAAACAAAUCUUUUAGUAAUUCAGAUAAAACAUUUUCUAAAGUAAAACAAAACUGUUUAAAAUAAUUUCUUUCUGUUAUUAUUAACAUUGAAAAUACUAUAUUUAUUUAAAGAACUGGUGGCUUAAUCAGCAUUGAAGGCAUGUUGCAAAGUGUUACAAUAUAUUCUGUCAUUUGGCUCAGCUUUAGGCAAUUAUACAUGUAAAUAUAAUUACUAUGGUAUUCUUUUUUUAAACAUAUUAGUCUCAAGUUUGUGAUGAAUGAAUCUGCAACGUGUUUUCUUGACACCUUUUUGAAGUGAAUUAAUUUAAUAUUAAUUUAUUUUAAAUGUGCCAGAAGCAUCAUCCUAUUACUAAUAAGUCAAAAUAGACAGCAGGAAAUGCAGGUCCCUUCCUAGCAUUGCCAGAACGCAUCUCUGUGUGUAUCCAGCAAUCUGGGUGAUAUGUUGACAGAAUGAGGCCAGCGAUGCAAAUAAAGGAAUUCUCUCUCCUCCUCUCCUUGCAGUUUAUUGCUUGUCAUUGACUAAUUCACUGACUAGAAUUCCUACAGAAAAAUCAAACUAGUAGUGAAGCAGCUUUCUUAUUAGCAUUACUAUCAAAUGUUUAAUUUGUGUAUGAGGCGAUAAGAGUAUUUGUGUUUCCAGAAUUACAGCUAUUUAAUUUGGUUUAUUGGCUGCCUAAGGCUGAAGUAGGAUUCUCUAGGUAUAUAAAUUUCAGGCUGGAUUCUUAACACGAAUUAGAGUAUUUUUACUGCAGUUGCUGUAGCGGACUGUCAUCAGUGUCACUUUACAUUAGUGAAACACAUGAAUCCAAAUACUUCUGUUAGAUACCAAAUAAAUACAUAUUUUUUAAAAUGGAAGAUGGUUUUUUUAAUUUAACCCCCCCUAAAUAUCUUUAAUUAUGCUUGCUAUGUGUGUUAGGAUUUGUUAUUUUGUCUUAAUCACUUGCAAGGUUUUAAUCUGAUUCCCUGACAUACUAACACAGCAGAGAGACAAAAUAUAUUUAUUCUUACAAAUCAUAGUGUAUGUUUCAGCUUUUACUGUUCUCAGAUCAGGAAUGCUCAAUUUAAGAUAAAAACUAUUUAUUCCAUAAAAGAUAAAAGCCAGAAUUCAUUAACAAAUGAAAAAAAUACCCCAACAACAACAAAAUCAAACACAGAAUUAAUAGAUAGAGAAAAUCAAAGAUAGUGGGAAGGAAAGUUGCAUUUAUAUUAAAUAAAUAUUCUGUGUUUUAGUAUAAAGUGAAAUAACAAAAUCUUGCUCCCUUUGAUCAAAAUACACAGAUGAUCAGGAUAGGGAGUCAUACCAGCAUAUACAACUGUACUCAAUUCUUAUUUGAAAAAAAGUAGUCAUGGGCAAGGGACUCUAAGAAGACAGAUAACAAGCUUCUGUAUUUUCUGGCUCAUUGUAUCCAGUAGGUACAGAAAGCCAGAUUAGUAUAUUUUAUUCAUAUUGAUUUGAGUAGCUUUAUUUAUCUAACAUAGUUACCAUCUGUGAAAAACAGUGCUUUGCACAAAAAUAAUGGAGAAUCUAGUAAAAAAAAAUAAAUGGGGCUUCCAAAUUUAGUUUGCUGUUACCAAUGGAAUACAUACUGCAAUUUGGCAAAAAUCUGUCUUGUGGGUGAUUUGAGGGGUAAAAAAGCACCUGAUCACUCAUUUCCACACAGACACUCUACAAACUGGAAAAAAGAUUUUUCUCAGAUUGAAGCCUGAAUCUCUGUUUGAUGGAAGGGGGAAACCAGUCCUCCCAAGCUCUCAAAGCUGUUGCAAGCAGACAUUUAAUUGCUGAAGCAGCCCUGCUCUCUCUAAUCUGGGGCACACAGCUCAGCAGGUGCCCAUUUUAAGUGACCAUAGUUGUAUUUCAUUGCCCGUUUUUCCCACUUAUCUGGAAGUGUAAGACUUGGCUGUCCCCAUGCCUAAUCUUUGUAUUUUUAAUGCAGGUGAUGUAUAUUGUGAACAGUACCCAUGUGAUACUGAAAUCACCUGGCAAAAAAAGGGAAACGUUAUUGUGCAAUCCUCAUUCUGAAUCAAAAUUUUUGGGGGUAUCCUUUAGGAGGGACUCUAAAGGCUAAACUUUCAAUGCUAAAUUGUGAAAGACCAGAAGUCAAGGUCCAAAGUUUUUGAGCAGCUGGACACAGGGGAUACAAUGAAGAAAUCCAACCCUUUUCCUGCUACUCAAGCAGACAGUAUGACAGCAGAUUGGUCUCAUAGUGCCACAACAACUGGAUGUUUCCCGAAGGACCAAUACUUCAACACAGCAUAGAGGAGAGAGGGUGGCUGAGAACUCCACUGAAGGUUGCUGUGUUCAGGCACUGAUACAACAAUUUUCCAGCUGAGCAACAUGGAAGAAACAUAUGCCAGCAUGUGUAAAGAUUCUCUAGCAGACAUCUGCAGCCUCCCUCUUUGCAGCUGAUGAUGUGCCCAAACCUUGUACCACUUCAAAAGAACUUUAAUAUUUUGAAAAAGCCUCACUUUCACACAGUAGUUCAGAAAGAUCAAUAUGAAAUUUAGUUAGGAAAAAAGGAUAUCUGGUGAAAUUUCCAAUUUACUUACACAACCUAUCCAUCCUCCUGCUCUCAGGGUUUAGUAUCUCAGUGUUUGGCCAUUGCCACAUGUAGUGGUUUGACAAUACAAUCAUAAUACUAUUUCCCCUAAGCCCAGUUGGUGAGAAAUGUGUAAUUCCAUUUAAAGCAAUAUAAUGUUUAAUUUUGUGACAAUAAAUGAUUUUUUUUUCUGCA
Molecule: long non-coding RNA, 7871 nt
Organism: Parus major (Great Tit)
Lineage: Eukaryota; Metazoa; Chordata; Aves; Passeriformes; Paridae
Exons: 9
Source: RefSeq, a predicted model, not a curated record